This 372-nucleotide ribosomal RNA is filed under the name uncultured organism. RNAcentral describes it as "bacterial SSU rRNA". It matches the Rfam family "Bacterial small subunit ribosomal RNA", at positions 526 to 896 of the family's 1533-position model. The record is from RNAcentral.
CAGAGGGGGCAAGCGUUAUUCGGAAUUAUUGGGCGUAAAGGGCGCGUAGGCGGCUUUUCAAGUGACGGGUGAAAUCCCUCGGCUUAACCGAGGAACUGCCUGUCAGACUGGAAGGCUUGAGACCGGGAGAGGUGAGUGGAAUUCCCAGUGUAGCGGUGAAAUGCGUAGAUAUUGGGAGGAACACCAGUGGCGAAGGCGGCUCACCGGACCGGAACUGACGCUGAGGCGCGAAAGCGUGGGGAGCAAACAGGAUUAGAUACCCUGGUAGUCCACGCCGUAAACGAUGAGUGCUUGGUGUAGCGGGUAUCGACCCCUGCUGUGCCGAAGUCAACACAUUAAGCACUCCGCCUGGGGAGUACGGUCGCAAGACUG